GAUGAACGCUGGCGGCGUGCCUAAUACAUGCAAGUCGAGCGAACGGACGAGAAGCUUGCUUCUCUGAUGUUAGCGGCGGACGGGUGAGUAACACGUGGAUAACCUACCUAUAAGACUGGGAUAACUUCGGGAAACCGGAGCUAAUACCGGAUAAUAUUUUGAACCGCAUUGUUCAAAAGUGAAAGACGGUCUUGCUGUCACUUAUAGAUGUAUCCGCGCUGCAUUAGCUAGUUGGUAAGGUAACGGCUUACCAAGGCAACGAUGCAUAGCCGACCUGAGAGGGUGAUCGGCCACACUGGACCUGAGACACGGUCCAGACUCCUACGGGAGGCAGCAGUAGGGAAUCUUCCGCAAAGGGCGAAAGCCUGACGGAGCAACGCCGCGUGAGUGAUGAAGGUCUUCGGAUCGUAAAACUCUGUUAUUAGGGAAGAACAUAUGUGUAAGUAACUGUGAACAUCUUGACGGUACCUGAUCAGAAAGCAACGGCUAACUACGUG
RNAcentral lists this ribosomal RNA (497 nucleotides) under uncultured bacterium. RNAcentral describes it as "partial 16S ribosomal RNA". It matches the Rfam family "Bacterial small subunit ribosomal RNA", at positions 28 to 507 of the family's 1533-position model. The record is from RNAcentral.